UCACGUGGUUUUCUUCGCGUGGCAAACCAUCUCCCUGAACAAUAUUGCUCCAAUACUUUGACUUUAAAUGUCGUCAAUGUUUGUGUAUGUUUGUGCAAGGCAAGUUCUGCUCUAGAGAGUUCUGGUGAUCCACCAAAGGGCAGCUAAGAGUUCCUGACAGAAUUUCCACAAAUGUGACUGACUUAUGACGAAACAUGGGGGGAAAAUAAUCACUCGGAGGGAAAGGUAACAUUUUCAGCCGGGGGGUAACGAGCUCGGCGUGGGUAUUGGUAGACUUUUGCUUCGUGGGGACAGGCUGGGCCGGUCGUUGGGUCGAGCUGCUACGAUGUGCGCCUGCUGCUCCGCGGAGCUCCGUUGGGGACGGGAACCUUUCGCCGGAUGAUGGACAGGAACUACCCGAGCUCCAGCUUUUCGGACGCGCUGGCUCCUCCAGCACAGACCGUAGCUUCGUGGGCCUAUGAGCGCGACUCGGCUACCAUCAAACCAAGUUAUGGUUCCACGCUCCUUGAUGGAGAGCUCCUCCAGCAGCAGAGUUAUGCUCCCUCACACCAGCUUCCUUCAUACAGUACCUCACACAUCCCUGCUGGAGCAGGAACACUUGAGUCAGGCAGCAGCUCCACUGUGACCUCAGUCAUGAGCUUCCUGUCAGCCUCGGAGUCGAGAAGUCUUCAGGCUGGUCCUGCUAGUGCCUCAUUGCUUCCUCCUUUUAGACCUCCAUCGUGGACUUCUGGCACCAACACCUCCACCACAGACCUGUACUUGGCCAGUCCUUUGCCCUCUACAGCCACUUUUCCCUCUCCUGCUGCUCUGUCAUCAUAUCAGCACACAGGUGCCUACUCUUCCAGGAACUAUGCCACCAGCGCCUCUCUGUCUCUUCAGGAUCCUGCUUUCACGGCUUCCAACAAUGGCCUUUUUUCCCACCACGAUCACUUGCUUCAUCUCAAAUCUAGCCAAACUGUGCUUCCCACUGCCUUGGCCUUCAAUCAUCUCUCUGCCUCACCUCUAGGUUCAGCUCUUCCUGUGCAGUCCUCAACUUACCGCUCAGCCCAGGAGUCAGCGCCUCAUCUCCUGCAACCCCAAUUUAGCUUACUUCCCUCGGCGUUGCCCUCUCCUCACGGUGCUGCGCAGCCUUACGGGGCUACGGUUUUCUCCGGCUCUAUUGAAAGAGCUUUACAGCGUGAAUGUAGUGUAAUCAAACACCAUCAGAGGCCUUCAAGUGGCCACGCGCCCUCGGAGCAGUUGCCCAGUUCUGAGCACUCGCUACAGGGGUACUUUGGCCCAAGCGAUGAAGCAGAUGUGUCUUACCAGCAAGAUAAUAACAGCCCAGUGUCCAGCAGCCCCUCCACAACUGCAAACUCCAGCCAAGGUGUUUGCAGUUCCCCACAACCCAAAAGUGAUUGUGUUACACAAACGUAUUCCUCCACAUCAUUGCUGAAACCCGGGGACAGCUCCUUCAAACUUGCUCCGUCCUCAGAAAGGAAUAAAGACAUUCACUCUUUGAACCUGAAAGUAGGUUCUCCUGAGCAUUACUCCUCCGAUGACAAGGAAAACUCAUUGAUUGCUAAUCAACAGGCAGUCCAGCUAUCUAACCUGAUAGCUGACAGUUUGCCUCAAACCUACAUCGCUGCGCUCUCGCAGUCGCAGAGCUCGCAUUCUCCUCCAGAUAAACUCUCUUCUGUUUACACUACUUUGUCUUCCCUCUCAAGCCACUCAGAAAACAUUGCUUCUGUUAGCCAAAAUCUAGCUUACUCAUCCAAUCUUGGCCAGGAAGUUCAUUAUGGAGCGCAUGUCCAGACCUUGUGUCAAGAUGGUCCCACUGGAAGAUACCCCACAUCCCACUCUCAGGAUGCAUCUAGUUUUAGUUUUACAUCUCAGGAGCAGUCUUUAGUUUCUCAGUCGCAAAGCUUCUCUUCGGGUCAGACACUUAACUCAUCAUACCCAUUAACGUGUGGACAGACUCUUCCCACAUCAAAUUCCACCUUGGACUUUAGCCGUGUGCAAGAUUCGGAGGGAGCCAAAGCCCAUGAUGUUUUAUCCCAGACACAGACACAAAAUGUUUUGCCUUCACUGCUGCCUACCUACUCCUCAACUCAAACCUUACAAAAUGGGAUUGGCUCCUCCGUACAGGACAUAAAGCCAACAUACGGCAAAGAAAAAAUGGAAGAGCUUCCCUUCCAGGAUAUGGAGGCUCUACGGCAGACUUCCAUGGUUUCUGCCAACAGUAUGGCCUCUCAUAACAUUGUUUAUGUUGUUUCAAAAAUAGACGAACACAAGUCACAAAGUGUUAUUCGAAGUAACUCGUGUGAUGAACACCUCAUGGUACUUAAUCAAACAAAUGUAGCAGAGGCGAAGGAGGAAUUGAUGGGUUCCGUGAGCCAAAACCAAAUACAUUUAGGUAACAACAAUGCUAUCGACACAAAGUCCACAACCUCCAUUGUUGUGCCCUCGCUUUUACCCCUUUGCCCAGAGCAGCUCAAGCAGUCCCCUCCCCAGCUUCAACCAGAGCUUCAUCAGCAAAACCAACAUACUCAAAGCCAAAAUCUGGCAGUGCACACACAGUUCAUCACAGUCCCCAGCAACAAGGUUCUUCUCGAGUCGAAUCAGAUGAUUUUUGUACAGCAGCCUCUGGUUCACCAGACUCGGAAUAACUCAAAGUUGAUAUCUUUGCAAGGUUUCCAGCCCGCUCACAGUUUGGGUCCAGUCCACGUUCAGUACCUUCAGAUGGAUCGAGACCUGCUCGGACCCACUAUUUCAGAACCACAGGGUCAGCAGGGAACCACAGUGUCUGAGCCAAACUCAGAAUGCUCAUCUGCUAAACACCACUGCAGCCAAGCAGCACAUCAGCAGCCAACUGAUGUCAAGAACCACUUUGCUCUCAAUUCCAUCUGCUUCCCAGAAUCCAUGCUUCUGACAGAUGACAGAAACAUUCUGUCAAAUGUUGACGACAUCCUGGCUGCUACGGUGGCAGCCUGCGGCGUCAUGCCUCAGGACUUUAAAGCCGCAGCCUCUGCGGAGGCUGACAUGACGGCGACGUCGAGUUCUGUUGAUUCUAAAAGACAUGUCCAGACGAUUGAUAUGAGGCAAAUGUCUGGUGGUUUUUCCUCAGCACAACAAGCAGUAAUGGCUAAUGCUGACUCUCACACCCUCAGCAUAACACUAAACGGAGAUCAGACAACUACGGACUGUCAGCACCAACCUGUUCACUCCAAAAGUACUGCUGAACUUGAAAUAAACGGUGACGGGAAGAGCUCUGAGAGGGGUUAUAGCUCAGAAGACCGGGUGUUUGACUCUGUCGUUGACCAGAACAAAGUUAAAGAGAAUCCCAAUUGCUCUGAAACUGAAAAUAAAUUCCUAAUAUGUCCAGAUGGGGAAGACUCCCCCCAAAAAAAGGCUCGUUCAAAAUCCCAAACCAAGCCAGGAUGUCCCGAAGAUGAGGGGGGAUUGGCUAGAUCCAUCAAACGCAGCGGGCAAACGAAGCGGCAAAACUCCAAAGGAAGUGACGUCAGCUCACCAGCCGCGCCACAAACCGUGUAUGAUGGUUGUCCCCAACAAGAGAGGAUCAGGCAGAAGAUUCGAGAAGUGGAGGAGAAACAACCAGAGGUCAAACGUGGCUUCAUUGGCUCCUUCCUGGACUUUAUCAAGUCUGGCCCCAAACAGCAGUAUUCGCAGAGCCCAAUGAGAACGGUCAGUCGCCCAAGAAAGCCCUCCACCUCGUCCAAACCCAACAUUUUGCCUGUUCUGCCUUGCAAAGUCCAGAAUCUGCCUGGACCUUUGCUUCCUCAGGAGAGUCCAGCACUGAGCUCUCAGCAGAAACGCCUGGAGGACGACCUGCAGAAGAACUUGGAGACGCUGCCAUCUUUCAGUUCAGAUGAAGAGGAGAGCACUGGGAGAAACCAGGCUCUGAGGAACAGCAUCACCUCAGCGCUGUCGUCUCUAGAUGAAUCCUCAGAUCGGAAAUCAAGGACAGAUAACCAAAUUCACUGCUUGAUGAUAAGACAGGACCAAGUUCCCUCUGUGUCACGCGGCGUCGCUCACGCUUGCUUGCCACAGAUCGUCUCUCAAGCUCCUAUAGCAGCUUCAGUCUCAGAAAGGACUGCGAUUGUGACCAAAGACCAGCAUGCCGUGACCCCGUCAGGCCAGCUGGCCAUGCAGCUGCUGACUGUGGCUGUGGAGGGACUGACAGACGAGGAGCUGUCCGACAGCGGGGGCGAGGGCAUGUAUCGGGAGAGAGAUGAGUUUGUCGUCAGGAAUGAAGACAUCGAAACCCUGAAGGUGACAAUGAUGGCUGGCAGGGAACCACCAGCCAUCUGGAAAGUGCAGAAGGCUCUGCUGCAGAAAUUUGUGCCAGAACUAAGAGAUGGGAAAAGAGUUUUCUCUGCCACGAAUAGCUACCUUGGUUACUUUGGUGAUGCCAAGACCAUGUACCAUCGAGUGUACGUGAAGUUUUUGGACACGGUUAACAAAAGGGAGUAUGUGCGCGUUUGCAGUCGGAAGCCUCGCUGUAAGCCGCUGAGCUCGCUGAGAGGAGUUCAAGUGAAAACCCUUCUGGGCUUGACGGCCCCGGCUUCCGCUGUGACCCAAAGUCAGAAGCCCAGAGUCAAACAGAUGAAAGCAAAGGUAGAGCCACCCCCCAAGAAGAGAAGGAAAUGGAAGGAAGAGUUUUCCCAGACUGCCUCUGGUUCAUCUACUGAAGAUGAUGAGUCAAACCCUGCACUUUCAUCACGGUUCCUCCAAACACGAACCAUGAGGGAGACGUUCAGAAGCUUCGUGGAGCUCCUUAUCAGCAUCGCCUUGGACGAAGAUGUGAUGACAGCCCUUGAAAGAACAAAUGAUGAGUUGCUGCUGCCGCACAUGAAAAGAGUGGACGGGUUGAUCACUGACAACAGGAAACGUCUGCUCCACAAACUGCACCUCGGGCAAGUCCUGAAGAUGGCCCUGGACAGCUUUCCAGAGAUCUCAGUGGUGACCGAGUUAAAGAAAGAUGGGGAAACUCCAGCUUUUAAGGUACGCCUUAGUGGAAAGGCCUACAACAAGAAGACCAUGAAGCCUCACAAAGUGCCGAGCAAAGUUCCACAGGAGUACACAGUGGACCAGCAGAAAACUCAGUGGUUCUCCCUGUACCAUUCCUUGCAGCAUUACAAAUACCACACAUACCUCACGUGUAAGGAUGAGAUUGCAUCUCUGCGGGUUCAGACGGGGAAUCUGGGCCAGGAGGAGACUGUGAAGAAGUGUCUGGAGAACGGAGCGUGGGUAGAGGGACUCUUUGAUCGCUUUGGAGAGCUAAUCAAUCAGGUGCAGCAGAUCUGCAAAUGAUUCCGCUAUGGCUCACACGGAAAUCGUGGGAGAAAAAGGAGCGCCAAAAACGAUACACGUGUAAUGCUUAAAGACUUUUGCUUCGUCGUGGCAGUGAAGUAAAACAAGUUUGACUCCGGAGCCGCGGAGGCCCUUAGACGACUCUCCAAAAUACCAACACGUCAGACAGAAAACCUGUUCUCCCGUCAGCUGGAGCUCGAAUGUUUCUCUUUUUGUUGUCGGGAAUCGAUGCACUGAGUUUCAAAGCAAAUCGAGCAAUACGUCAUAAGGGCUCAGUUAAUCCUAAUGAACAUGUUAAGUAUUACCAAAACAAUAAAGUUCGAAUAAAGCACAAGAUUUUUGUGAGUACUACAAAUUUGCAUUUGUAUUUAAAGAAGAGGUUUUCUUUGAGCAACUUAAAGGGAAAUCGUAAUAAUGAAACCACUACAGUCAUUCUUAGCAUGAAUUGGUGAAAUGUGCCACAUUCUUCAACAGUUUAUUCCACAGAUUUUGUGAUUUAGGGCUUACCUCCUAAGUCGCUGUGGCCUAGUUGAUUUCUCUCUUGGGAAUUUUUCAUACACAGGUUUCCCCCAAUAAAAUGACCCAAUGGUCACACUGAAUAUGUCAGGUCAGCAAUUGAAGCGGUUUACUCCACAUCUCUAACGUCCCCUUUGACAGUACCUGUGUUGGACAAUCAGAUCAGAGGCUCGGUUCAUCAAAUCUAUGUUUGCUAUAUGUGUGUGUCUGUUUGCUUAUGGGACAUUAAAAAGAUGUCCAUGUAGAUGACAUCAAAAGCGGUGGCAGACCUCUUAAAGGCUGAGGCGCCCGCAGCCGCAUGUUUGAAACCAGUCCUGUGACGUAGGUUACUGUGAGUGGAAAUGAGGGUGCAGGAUUUUUCUGCUCCUUUGUUGUUUUUAUUAGAUUAGUCAUGUUUGUUUCAUGUUUCUGUGUUAUCAAAAGGUUUUCAGGGAGGCACAUUAUUAGAUUUAAAUCUUAUGUAAAAGCAUGAAAAAUGUGCAUGUCAUGGAGCUAAAGGAGGAGAAAAAGCAUCUCAUGAUGUGAUCAGGUACAGAGGACAUCUUAUUUAUAAUGUAAAAUUUUUUUCACACAGUCAUCAUAACAUCUAAUUUAAUAGGUUAUCACAAUAAAAUAUACCAAAAUAAAAACAUUAAUUAACACUAUUUGGAGCAGCUUACCUCCUUUGUCUGCAGACAUUUAAUCAAGAAUCCAAAACUUAAUAGGAAACAAGUGCAACACAAGUUGACUCAAGAGGAAAACCAAUCAUUUUUGAUGAUCAGUUGCAGUCAUUUGGGUGCAAACAUGUGCAGGUGUAAGAAGAAAUCUCACUAAACAUUUAUUUCAACCAAAUCUGCAAUAUAUGUGGAUCUGUGGCAAACUGAUUAAGACUUUGGAUUCUUUUCCUGACUCUGUGUCUCAAUUGUUCCUGUCUAUUUUCUUUUAAACUCCUUUUCUACAUCCCUUAUACACUUGUGCCUUUUCAUAUUUUCCUUGGUAAGAAGCAACUAAAAUAUUUCUAUGGAUUAUAAAGUUUAAUAAACCCUCCUUGUCAUGAUUUUUA
RNA transcript from Oryzias latipes (Japanese medaka), 6871 nucleotides. It is a transcript of the gene named glutamine and serine rich 1, with no coding region annotated. The record is from RefSeq and is a predicted model, not a curated record. NCBI's taxonomy places the organism in Eukaryota, Metazoa, Chordata, Actinopteri, Beloniformes, Adrianichthyidae.